RNAcentral lists this unclassified non-coding RNA (333 nucleotides) under soil metagenome. Its description in RNAcentral is "partial contains 5.8S ribosomal RNA, internal transcribed spacer 2, and large subunit ribosomal RNA". The stretch from base 1 to 120 matches the Rfam family "5.8S ribosomal RNA", at positions 35 to 154 of the family's 154-position model. The record is from RNAcentral.
GAUGAAGAACGUAUCAAAAUGCGAUAAGUAAUGUGAAUUGCAGAAUUCAGUGAAUCAUCGAAUCUUUGAACGCACAUUGCGCCCGCCAGUAUUCUGGCGGGCAUGCCUGUUCGAGCGUCAUUUCAACCCUCAAGCUCAGCUUGGUGUUGGGACUCGCGGUAACCCGCGUUCCCCAAAUCGAUUGGCGGUCACGUCGAGCUUCCAUAGCGUAGUAAUCAUACACCUCGUUACUGGUAAUCGUCGCGGCCACGCCGUAAAACCCCAACUUCUGAAUGUUGACCUCGGAUCAGGUAGGAAUACCCGCUGAACUUAAGCAUAUCAAUAAGCGGAGGA